GACGAACGCUGGCGGCGUGCCUAAUACAUGCAAGUAGAACGCUGAAGAGAGGAGCUUGCUCUUCUUGGAUGAGUUGCGAACGGGUGAGUAACGCGUAGGUAACCUGCCUUGUAGCGGGGGAUAACUAUUGGGAACGAUAGCUGAUACCGCAUAACAAUGGAUGACACAUGUCAUUUAUUUGAAAGGGGCAAUUGUUCCACUACAAGAUGGACCUGCGUUGUAUUAGCUAGUAGGUGAGGUAAUGGCUCACCUAGGCGACGAUACAUAGCCGACCUGAGAGGGUGAUCGGCCACACUGGGACUGAGACACGGCCCAGACUCCUACGGGAGGCAGCAGUAGGGAAUCUUCGGCAAUGGGGGCAACCCUGACCGAGCAACGCCGCGUGAGUGAAGAAGGUUUUCGGAUCGUAAAGCUCUGUUGUAAGUCAAGAACGGGUGUGAGAGUGGAAAGUUCACACUGUGACGGUAGCUUACCAGAAAGGGACGGCUAACUACGUGCCAGCGGCCGCGGUAAUACGUAGGUCCCGAGCGUUGUCCGGAUUUAUUGGGCGUAAAGCGAGCGCAGGCGGUUUGAUAAGUCUGAAGUUAAAGGCUGUGGCUCAACCAUAGUUCGCUUUGGAAACUGUCAAACUUGAGUGCAGAAGGGGAGAGUGGAAUUCCAUGUGUAGCGGUGAAAUGCGUAGAUAUAUGGAGGAACACCGGUGGCGAAAGCGGCUCUCUGGUCUGUAACUGACGCUGAGGCUCGAAAGCGUGGGGAGCGAACAGGAUUAGAUACCCUGGUAGUCCACGCCGUAAACGAUGAGUGCUAGGUGUUGGAUCCUUUCCGGGAUUCAGUGCCGCAGCUAACGCAUUAAGCACUCCGCCUGGGGAGUACGACCGCAAGGUUGAAACUCAAAGGAAUUGACGGGGGCCCGCACAAGCGGUGGAGCAUGUGGUUUAAUUCGAAGCAACGCGAAGAACCUUACCAGGUCUUGACAUCCCGAUGCUAUUUCUAGAGAUAGAAAGUUACUUCGGUACAUCGGUGACAGGUGGUGCAUGGUUGUCGUCAGCUCGUGUCGUGAGAUGUUGGGUUAAGUCCCGCAACGAGCGCAACCCCUAUUGUUAGUUGCCAUCAUUCAGUUGGGCACUCUAGCGAGACUGCCGGUAAUAAACCGGAGGAAGGUGGGGAUGACGUCAAAUCAUCAUGCCCCUUAUGACCUGGGCUACACACGUGCUACAAUGGUUGGUACAACGAGUUGCGAGUCGGUGACGGCGAGCUAAUCUCUUAAAGCCAAUCUCAGUUCGGAUUGUAGGCUGCAACUCGCCUACAUGAAGUCGGAAUCGCUAGUAAUCGCGGAUCAGCACGCCGCGGUGAAUACGUUCCCGGGCCU
Molecule: ribosomal RNA, 1369 nt
Filed under: uncultured bacterium
Lineage: Bacteria
Description: bacterial SSU rRNA
Rfam family: Bacterial small subunit ribosomal RNA
Source: RNAcentral